RNAcentral lists this ribosomal RNA (471 nucleotides) under uncultured organism. RNAcentral's name for it is "partial 16S ribosomal RNA". It matches the Rfam family "Bacterial small subunit ribosomal RNA", at positions 335 to 797 of the family's 1533-position model. The record is from RNAcentral.
ACUCCUGCGGGAGGCAGCAGUGGGGAAUUUUGGACAAUGGGCGAAAGCCUGAUCCAGCAAUGCCGCGUGUGUGAAGAAGGCCUUCGGGUUGUAAAGCACUUUUGUCCGGAAAGAAAUCCUUGGCUCUAAUACAGUCGGGGGAUGACGGUACCGGAAGAAUAAGCACCGGCUAACUACGUGCCAGCAGCCGCGGUAAUACGUAGGGUGCGAGCGUUAAUCGGAAUUACUGGGCGUAAAGCGUGCGCAGGCGGUUUGCUAAGACCGAUGUGAAAUCCCCGGGCUCAACCUGGGAACUGCAUUGGUGACUGGCAGGCUAGAGUAUGGCAGAGGGGGGUAGAAUUCCACGUGUAGCAGUGAAAUGCGUAGAGAUGUGGAGGAAUACCGAUGGCGAAGGCAGCCCCCUGGGCCAAUACUGACGCUCAUGCACGAAAGCGUGGGGAGCAAACAGGAUUAGAAACCCCUGUAGUCCCA